Molecule: long non-coding RNA, 682 nt
Filed under: Rattus norvegicus (Norway rat)
Lineage: Eukaryota; Metazoa; Chordata; Mammalia; Rodentia; Muridae
Description: long non-coding RNA NONRATT033080
Source: RNAcentral
GACCUUUCUUGGCUGCUUGAAGAGGCUAAUGCUGGAGUAAUGGUAGCAACAAAGACAGUGCAGAUUCGUCUCUGGCUCUGCCAGAGAAGCCCUUGUGUGUCCUCCACCACCUGCUUGGGAUACUCCCUCCAGAGUGUCACACAUCUGUAAGAACCUUUCUGCCCGUCAGCUGUUGCCCUCGGCCUGUGCUCUGGAGGCUCCAGGGGUCUCUCAGGGUCCCAUCUUGGCGAGUUCUUUGCAGCCACGCAUCUGCCAGCUUCACGGUCAUCCCCCUGGAAACAGAAACUUGUCUUCUAAAGUGCCUGCCAUGUCAUAAAUGCUGUCAUUCCACUUAUCCAAUUUCACUCUCCGCAGUUUCUAUUACAGCUAAUUUGAAAAAUAUUACAUGGAAAAUUCCAGAAAUAAGCAAUCCAUUUGUUUUAAGUUGUAUGCCAUCCCGGGUACCACGAUGAAGGCUCACAUCAUCCUGCUGCGUCCCACACAGGAUGUGAGUCACGCCAUUGUCUAGCAUGUCCACGCUGUGUACACGGCUCACCAUCUAGUCACCUAGUAGCUGGCUUGGUCACCAGACAGGAGGGACUGCCAGAGUGCCACAGUACCACAGUGCCACAGCGCUUGUGUUCAAGAGACCCCUGAUGUCGUAAUCCAACACUGCGGCCGCCAUGCUUACGCCAUGCGCCUC